Hippocampus comes (tiger tail seahorse) is the source of this 150-nucleotide long non-coding RNA. RefSeq lists it as uncharacterized. NCBI's taxonomy places the organism in Eukaryota, Metazoa, Chordata, Actinopteri, Syngnathiformes, Syngnathidae. The record is from RefSeq and is a predicted model, not a curated record. The transcript is spliced from 2 exons.
GAACAACGACAAAAGUGAUUUUAAGACGAGCUACGGAGAACGUGAAAGUGGCUAAGCUAACCGCAUUAGCAAUCCGGCUGCUAGCGUAGCGUCACACGAGGGUAAGCGGAGUUCCAACAGAUUGCUCAUCUAAAAUAUCCACGACACUUC